Paramuricea clavata is the source of this 353-nucleotide non-coding RNA. Lineage: Eukaryota; Metazoa; Cnidaria; Anthozoa; Malacalcyonacea; Plexauridae. The record is from the annotation of a GenBank genome assembly.
GACUUGUAAAGAAUUAAAGGAGCUAUCCAAAGUAAUACAUAUAAUAUAAAUUAGUUAUUUUAUAUAUUUAUUCUUGGUACAAAUAAAGCCAUUUUGUCGCAGACCUGAUGUCCAUACGCCAUCUUCAAAAACUAACUUAUUGUCGCCCAAAUUCAGUUUAAUCGUUCCACUUUCUUUGUCCGUGUCAUCUAGAUCUUUCACACUAAUUGUCGAGGCUCCAGCCUCUAUAUUUCGUGGAGGAACCUUGCCUUUUCUUUUAAAUAAAGGCAUCGAAUAUCUUUUCAAGUUGUAAACUUUUCAAAUUUUGCUCCAUCCUCGUUCCCAGGGCUUCUCGGCUGCCUGCGUUGCCGUAA